RNAcentral lists this ribosomal RNA (123 nucleotides) under Anabaena sp. BC-Ana-0004. Its description in RNAcentral is "partial 16S ribosomal RNA". It matches the Rfam family "Bacterial small subunit ribosomal RNA", at positions 1411 to 1533 of the family's 1533-position model. Lineage: Bacteria; Bacillati; Cyanobacteriota; Cyanophyceae; Nostocales; Nostocaceae. The record is from RNAcentral.
UUGGUCACGCCCGAAGUCGUUACCCCAACCUUUUGGAGGGGGAUGCCUAAGGUAGGACUGAUGACUGGGGUGAAGUCGUAACAAGGUAGCCGUACCGGAAGGUGUGGCUGGAUCACCUCCUUU